Molecule: long non-coding RNA, 2879 nt
Organism: Gavialis gangeticus (Gharial)
Lineage: Eukaryota; Metazoa; Chordata; Crocodylia; Gavialidae
Exons: 2
Source: RefSeq, a predicted model, not a curated record
UGGUAGCCUUGAUUGCCACUUUUCUGCUGUCAAACUUCUGGACCCAUAGGGAGCCCUGCGGUGCACUGGGUUGUCCACAGAUGGAUCCAUGUGUACAGGGUUGGGCUAGUGCACAGCAGGAUCAGGCUGGUGAGGAAGGUUGGGCAGUGCACCACUGCCAUAAAUUAUAGCUCUAUAUCCCUGUUCUCUUACAAUUAUACUUUUGAUGAUACCUGUGCAGCUUCAUUGCCUUAACAUACCAUACCACAGGCUUAAUUUUUCAGUUUAAAAGUUGCUGACAGUUUAAAAGAUGGAAAAUUAAUGUUUUAUUCUUCUUUUGAGGCUGAGGACCCUACAUAAUUAAGGAGGAAUAAAAAAAUUAAACGUUUUUUGUCACAUAAAUAACCAGAUCUGACUCUGAGUCACACAGAGUAAGUUUCUGUUCUGAAAAGUGACUGUGAAAAUUGUGUGCUGGUUAUUAACAAAUUUCUGAUUUUUAAUUUUUUAAACUUAGAAGAAACUUGAUUUAUAACAUGCAUCUUGCUAGAACAGCUGUCUUUUUGUCUAAAGGAACUUGUUUGAGACAUUAAAGACAAAAUCAGAAACUAAUCUUUUCAUAGGUCCCAUAAAAACAAAAUACUCUAUGUUCCUUGUUACCCUAAAUAUCUUUUUUAGUAACUGCAUUAAGGUAAUCAAAAAUGGUUGUAUGCAGACAAAAAAAGUGUUGAUAUAAUUCAAUACAGUGAAUGUUAAAGCUGCUGCAUUGUUCAAAAUAACCCAGCCUUCAUAUCCAUCCAAUGCAACAAACAAAAGGCAAGAGAGGAAAAGAAAAUCAAUAGUUUCUAAGUGGGAAAGGAUAAAAGCAAUAGAUAGGAUUAUUUUCAAGUUUUUAAGAGGACAUUACAAAUGGGCACAAGACAGGAUACACACUAGCAUGGAGCAUUAGGUUAAUAAUAUUUGACUUAAAUAUUUAGUAAAGAUUAUUGGAGCAUAGGAUACUGAAACUAUAAUACUGAGGCACUGCUAAGAGACUAACACAAACUACAAAACUAAUAAAGAAUAAAAUAUACAUUAUAUAUGUAAAAAUAUAUAACGUUAUAAUUAUGGACUCUAUAUUAGAACAAACAUGCAGCCUAAAUGUCAGGAUGCAUACUGCAAAUCACUCCAUAGAUAUUAACAAGCUGUCUAGCCUUGCCCAGAGAAUAUUUGGUGGAGUUACUGGGUUCCUGCACCUCUCACAUACAGGAGUACAGCAAAGCAAAGUACGGAAUACUAGGUGCAAAUCUCUUGCAUGAUAUCCCCAAAUACUCUGGCCAGUGAACUGUACUAGUUUUAGUGGGCGAGGGUGCUCUAUGUCCUUAAGAAGGGACCAGGAUAUGAUUCCAGGUAAUCAACAAAAAAACCCAAACCAUGAAUAGCAGUGGGUAAACAUUUCCAUCAAACAUUGCUGCGAGAGUUUUCAACCAAACAAAAAGGUUUGUAUAUCUGCUUUUGUCAAAAAAAAAAUUCUAAUUGGAAAAAAAAACAUUUUUGACUGAAGGCCAAAUAUUUUUUCCAUUAUUAGCUUAAAUUUGUCAUUUAUGUGGUUACCCACAAUUGCAAAAUCCCAAGGAAAAAAGUAUAGGUAUUUGACUACUACAUUCUCUGAUGAAACAUUGCUUAGAUUAUUUUUUUUCAAGGUUUUUUUAUUGUCCACUAUGUUUUUACUUAAGAAACGGUGAGAGAGAUUAUAAAUUGAGUAACGUCCAAAAUCAGAUUGCAAAACAAGGAGUAGUGGGUAACACUGGGAAUGUUUUGGCUGAGCAGGGUUGGAUAUUCACAGAUUACUAUGACAGUCUGUAGGGACUCAUUUACCUUUUAUUAAAGUGAAGUAAUGCUAUGAAUUGUAAAUAUAAAUAAAGUCAGCAAGUAUAUUUCCAAUGAAUCACUCUACAGCAGAUGUACCCAUCUGAUACAGAGCACCUCAUGCUUUUUGUCAGUGGAUCAAAAAUGUUUUAAUGUGGAGGUUAAGUAGCAUCCUAUUUUACUUAAAGAAAGACAUGUAAAGAGUUCCCCCCAGCCAUUCUGCCUGAAAAUUCAAUCUGGUAUCUGGAAGUCAAGAUCUGUUUUUAUGCUGGAUGCACCAUUAGCAAGAGAUUGUAUAACUGCUACUUUGUUAAUGUUCUGGAUAUUUAUGUCAAAAUAGAAUCUAGCUUGAUCUUCAGUCACUGCGUUGAGACUACAGGAGUAACAGAUGUGAAAGGCAAUUGUAACUUUUUUUUUCUCUGACAUAAGCAGAUAUGGAUAAACACACAGAUCUUUUGAUGCAUAUUUUCCAUAGCUACUUUUCAGAUCAUAAUAAUACGUCUUUUUGUAGACAUUCUUCAAACAUCAAGGCUUCUCAGUCCAUGUAGGUUUUAGAAUUAAUCAAAAGUGUAGUGAAUGCUUAUUAGAAAUCUCCUGUCCCUAGGAGAUAAGACAAAUGCUUCACAGAUUCUUUGUUGGAUAAAAUUCUCUGAGACAAAUUCCCUGCUGGCCACUGACUUCAGAAGAGUGUCCCUUGCUUACUCUAACAGUGAAGUUGGCCUUAUAAUGUUUGUUUCUAAAAUUAAAUGCAAACUAAUGAUACUUUUAAAAACUAUUCUAAGUGUCAAAGUCAUCUUAAAUGGUGUGUCAGUUUUUCUUUAAAUAUAUUAUGCAUGUUACUUAACCUCAAUGCUACAUGUUGCUGCCUGCCACUCCCACAUGCUUUUUUCUUCUCAUAUUGUGUGUCAGACAUUAAUUUACAUCAUACUCCUGGGAGGCAAGGUGGAUGCUUUAUUUACGUAUUUCCUGUUAAAUUGUAGGAGAAAGGUUGCAGUGAAAUUUUACUGUUUCAGUUUGUCAGGUAUUGAACUGUACUGCAAAUCUGAAAAAUCUUU